UACGUAGGGGCUAGCGUUAUCCGGAAUUACUGGGCGUAAAGGGUGCGUAGGUGGUUUCUUAAGUCAGAGGUGAAAGGCUACGGCUCAACCGUAGUAAGCCUUUGAAACUGGGAAACUUGAGUGCAGGAGAGGAGAGUGGAAUUCCUAGUGUAGCGGUGAAAUGCGUAGAUAUUAGGAGGAACACCAGUUGCGAAGGCGGCUCUCUGGACUGUAACUGACGCUGAGGCACGAAAGCGUGGGGAGCAAACAGGAUUAGAUACCCCUGUAGUCCCUGAGCGGG
RNAcentral lists this ribosomal RNA (280 nucleotides) under uncultured prokaryote. RNAcentral's name for it is "partial 16S ribosomal RNA". It matches the Rfam family "Bacterial small subunit ribosomal RNA", at positions 524 to 803 of the family's 1533-position model. The record is from RNAcentral.